This 220-nucleotide long non-coding RNA is filed under the name Capsella rubella. RNAcentral describes it as "long non-coding RNA (CRUB_LNC003923)". The record is from RNAcentral. Lineage: Eukaryota; Viridiplantae; Streptophyta; Magnoliopsida; Brassicales; Brassicaceae.
UUUCUUUAUUUUUUGAUUACCAGGAGGUUCGGGCCUUAGGCCGUAAUUCUCUUAGGGUCCAGAGCAGACCGGGUGAAAGCCUCUGGCCAAACGGAAAUAUCUAGUAAUUUCGCUGUUGAAAGGAAUCGAUCCCUAAUUUAGACCAACAUGGCAACUCCUCGCUCAAGUGUAAACCACUAGACCAAGACCACCUGGUUUAUUUUUUGUAGUCUUGUGUGUU